GCCCACUGAAAUAUUUUAAGGGCCGCAGUAUCCUAACUGUGCUAAGGUAGCGUAAUCAUUUGUCAUUUAAUUAAUGACUCGUAUGAAGGGCUUAACGAGAGGGCAGCUAUCUAUUAUUUAACAAAUGAAAUUAACUUAUUAGUUAAAAGGCUAAUAUAAUCUAGAAAGACGAGAAGACCCUAAAGAGCUUAGCAAAAAAUUUUUAAUAGUAGAAACUAACUUUUAGUUAUUAAAUUUUUAUGCUUAAUUGGGGUGAUUAAAAGAUAAACAAAACUCUUUUUAAAUAACUACUUUAUAUAAGAUAAAAUGAUCCGGCCUGCCGAUUAUAAGAAAAAGUUACCUUAGGGAUAACAGCGUAAUGCUUAUUAAGAGCCCAUAUCGACAUAAGUGUUUGCGACCUCGAUGUUGGACUAAAAUUAAAUCAUGGUGCAGAAGCCAUGUUUUUAGGUCUGUUCGACCUUUGAUUUUUUACACGAUCUGAGUUCAGACCGGCGAGAGCCAGGUUG
RNAcentral lists this ribosomal RNA (506 nucleotides) under Berndtia sp. ACRO_sp_216. RNAcentral describes it as "partial 16S ribosomal RNA". It matches the Rfam family "Bacterial large subunit ribosomal RNA", at positions 1861 to 2633 of the family's 2925-position model. RNAcentral also lists the same sequence under 2 other names. Lineage: Eukaryota; Metazoa; Arthropoda; Thecostraca; Lithoglyptida; Lithoglyptidae. The record is from RNAcentral.